RNAcentral lists this transfer RNA (66 nucleotides) under Pterostichus oblongopunctatus. Its description in RNAcentral is "tRNA-Ile". The record is from RNAcentral. Lineage: Eukaryota; Metazoa; Arthropoda; Insecta; Coleoptera; Carabidae. RNAcentral also lists the same sequence under 1 other name.
AACGAAGUGCCUGAAUUAAAAGGGUUAUUUUGAUAGAAUAAAUUAUGUAAAUUUUUACCUUCGUUA